This 247-nucleotide long non-coding RNA is filed under the name Elaeis guineensis (African oil palm). RNAcentral describes it as "long non-coding RNA (EGUI_LNC034835)". The record is from RNAcentral. Lineage: Eukaryota; Viridiplantae; Streptophyta; Magnoliopsida; Arecales; Arecaceae.
AUCUGAGUGUGGAUAGUAGAUUUCCACAUCUAAAAUCUAUAACAGUUGGUUCUUCAUGAUGCUCGAUAGUCGCAAACAUGUCCGGCCUCUACAAGUAUCCAUACAAAGCCCUUGUGUUGAUCGAUCUCUCCGAAAGUCCAAACUUGUAAAGACACCUUGCUUUGGCUGAUCUAAGGGGAACAUAAAGAAGAUGAAGAACAAGGAGACCCUUUCCUUUUCUUCCUGGAUCCACGCAUCAAAUCUCUAC